RNAcentral lists this unclassified non-coding RNA (290 nucleotides) under uncultured Hyaloscyphaceae. RNAcentral's name for it is "sequence contains ITS1". The stretch from base 1 to 105 matches the Rfam family "5.8S ribosomal RNA", at positions 50 to 154 of the family's 154-position model. The record is from RNAcentral. Lineage: Eukaryota; Fungi; Ascomycota; Leotiomycetes; Helotiales.
GAAAUGCGAUAAGUAAUGUGAAUUGCAGAAUUCAGUGAAUCAUCGAAUCUUUGAACGCACAUUGCGCCCCUUGGUAUUCCGAGGGGCAUGCCUGUUCGAGCGUCAUUAUAACCACUCAAGCCUAGCUUGGUAUUGGGGUUCGCUGUCCUGCGGCCCUUAAAAUCAGUGGCGGUGCUGCCUAGCUCUAAGCGUAGUAAUUUCCUCGCUAUAGGGUCUGGGUGGUCACUUGCCAAAACCCUCCACUUCUUACGGUUGACCUCGGAUCAGGUAGGGAUACCCGCUGAACUUAA